This 94-nucleotide ribosomal RNA is filed under the name Photobacterium lutimaris. Lineage: Bacteria; Pseudomonadati; Pseudomonadota; Gammaproteobacteria; Vibrionales; Vibrionaceae. The record is from RNAcentral. RNAcentral also lists the same sequence under 3 other names.
ACCCACCUGAUCCCAUGCCGAACUCAGUAGUGAAACGUAAUAGCGCCGAUGGUAGUGUGGGGUCUCCCCAUGUGAGAGUAGGACAUCGCCAGGC